CCUUUCACCCCACUUGAUUCCUGUGUGCCUAUAUGAAGGUGGUCUCUACCGAAGAAAAGGCAUCGCGCACAACCCCUCUUCUGCCUCGCUUCCGCGACCACCUACAGUCGCCUUUACACCUUUGGCACGCAGUCGCUUGCUGCCUUGCACCUUUGCAGGGGGCCUUCAAACGCACUUCUGUUCUCAUUGAUCUCUCUGUUGGGGUCUUGUCUCUGCUCUAGGAGGAGGGGGAGGGUGAGAGUAGCACCCGCAGAUGCUGGGUAGUGGAGUUGACAGCCCUUUUGCUGCAUUCGACAGGGCAUCAGGACGCUGUGGACAAGGCUACUGUUGGAAUGAAGGGUAGAUAUUUUACGGAAUGCGCUGCUGCUGCGGCUGGCCGCUGCCUAGGUGUGUUGCCUCGCUCCAGUAACGGGCGUGCGAGCCGACCAAACUGCAGGGCUUCUCUUCUGAUUACAGAAAGCCUUGCCGCCGCACGGCAUUUCAGUAGUACUAGCGUCACCGACACCAGCACCGCUGCUACCCCACGAGCCCCGCAAGCGAAGAAAGCAACUGAAUCCAGUCCCAAAGGGUCCACUUCCAGCGGUGAGUUGCCGCCCAUCAUUGAUACUCCCGCGCCACCACGGCCUGCGCUCUAUGUCCCGCCUGAGGAGCGCGACCCGAGCGAUGAAUCACUCGCUUUUCUCAAACCGGGUAGCCCACUACAACAUCUGACGCGCCGCAGCGAGGAGGUACAGCUCCCGGAAGGCCUUGAUCGGGCUCCGUCGAUUGCCGAGCGCCAACGGGCCGCCCCCAUCUACAUGGAUGCUGAUGCUGCGAGAGUGCGCAGCACAAGCGUGCACGCUGGGCAUUCUCUUCUUCAAUGUUCUGGGAUCGACACGAGCGCGUACUACUACAGCGCUCCACAGGCACCGCCUGCUGCAGAAGGGGAUGUGUCUGCGGUUGGCGCACUGGAUGCAUCGCACCGUAGUCGCCUGCGCACCCUCCGAGAGCACGCUCCUCGCCGGGGAUCGGAGUCAACACCGCUCGGCGCCGACCCCACGGCUGGCGUCUUGAGCGGUGGUGGUGUUGGUGCAGGCAGUAGCUGUAGCACCGCAAAGGAGCGAAGCAUGUUCGCAGCGUCGCACGAGUUUGCUGCCGUAGAGAAGACACCAGAGGAACUGGAAGACGAGAGGCAGCGGGCGGCCCCGAAACCCACCGCCAAGCAGCUGGAGACGGACAUCAAGAGGCUUGAGUACUACCAGGGCACCCCGCAGUACGAUAAACUUUUCGCAGACUUCUGUUCCAAGUACAGCGCAGAGGGGACUGCGACGAAGGGCGUCAAAGGGCCCGUUUACACGGCGGAAGAGGUGGAGCGCGGCUUGGAGGGGCAGCCAAUCGAUUACCACCACAGUAGCACCAAGUUGCAGGCGGCACUGUUCUCUGGACCGCGUGCCUACGACCCUGUCACGUUCAUGCAACAGCAAGGCGUCUUGCGCUUCCAGGGCUAUGCGUUUCCGCCUACGGUGGAGCUCGGGAAAUUGAAGGGAGACGGUGAUGAGCUGAAGGCGCUGCACAACGCGCACAAGAGCCACCCUCUUGUUGCACAGGUGCGGCGCGGAAUGAAUGCGCUGGUUGGGCGCAAGGAUGCGUGUGAUGACUACGUGGCGAUGGAGGACAAAUCGAAGGAGGACACCCAUCUGCUGUACCGCACCUUGGGCCUCGAGGCGGUGCAGCGGCGGCAGAUGCGCUACAUGCUGACUGAUUUCGAUUACGCAGACAGAAACACCGCGUUUCAUGUCAUGAUGUCGUACCCGUACACGGACUGGCUCCACGUGUUUUACAUGGUGCUGGUAGGCUGGUGCUUGUAUCAGCUGCAGGUUCGGUGCGGCGCCUACGAGUUCUACGACGAGUAUCUGGGGCUUGACCUCCGUCAAGUGCCGCGGCUGCAGAAGCCGAUCCUGGCCGGCAUCACCAUUGUCGUCAUGACCUUCUUCUUUUUCCAGCCUCUCUUGGUCGCCAGCAUUGCGACAACAAGAGCGUACCGGAUUGCAAUGAAACGCCCCAUCGGCCCUCCGUAGGGCGGCUUCCUUCGAAUUGACGUUCUUACCUCUGUGUGUCUGUGCGUGAUGAGGAGGCGUCAGAUCGAAGAGAUGGUACUCGGCGCACGCGUACUUACGUGCUUCGCUUUUCGUAUCACCUCGCGUUUUACAGCGCGCGUGUUUCCGACGGAUUCACGACUUCGCGCCGCUGCUCGUGUUGGUCUAGAGCGAGACGGAGACCGACUUUUGUAUUUCGUUGGAAAAGUCGAACGCUAGGUGCCGAUGAAGAGGCGUUGGUUGUCGUUUUGAAGUUGCUUUCCAGACCCUCUUCAAAAAAAAAGGAAAUCAGGAACACAGACUCAAGACAAGGUGCGCCCUUGAUGAAGGGAAAAGGGUGCCGUGUGCCAUGCAGGCGCAGGGGAUGUGUAUUCCCUGUGUGAGCUACGCUGCUCCUCGACGGCACUCAAUACCAGUCUUCCACACACUAGAGAGUGAACCCUCAGGGCACUCAAACCCUCUCCGCCCAUUUGGGAAUGGAAACUGAAGAGUCCUAUUUCCACUGCUGGUUUCGGUUUGCUGCGAUUGGUGCUGGCUUGUUUUUCUUUCUCAUCUCUUCUCAUAUCCUUUUCCUUGCACGUUUCUCUCCCCGUAAUGACCAUUAUACGGCGCUUCGCUCUCUCUCCUCUACUUGGCUGCUGCUUCACAUUUCUUCCCGCCUUUCACGUUGGCCACACAAACGCAG
RNAcentral lists this unclassified non-coding RNA (2760 nucleotides) under Leishmania donovani. RNAcentral describes it as "gene:LdHU3.29.1420(CDS-product:hypothetical_prote in_conserved)". Lineage: Eukaryota; Euglenozoa; Kinetoplastea; Trypanosomatida; Trypanosomatidae. The record is from RNAcentral.